CUGGCGGCGUGCCUAAACAUGCAAGUCGAGCGGUAACAGGUGUAGCAAUACAUGCUGACGAGCGGCGAACGGGUGAGUAAUGUUUCGGAAUCUGCCCAAUGGUGGGGAAUAACCAGCCGAAAGGUUGGCUAAUACCGCAUACGUCCUGCGGGAGAAAGCGGGGGAUCGCAAGACCUCGCGCCGAUGGAUGAGCCGAAACCGGAUUAGCUAGUUGGUAGGGUAACGGCCUACCAAGGCGACGAUCCGUAGCUGGUCUGAGAGGACGACCAGCCACACUGGGACUGAGACACGGCCCAGACUCCUACGGGAGGCAGCAGUGGGGAAUAUUGGACAAUGGGGGAAACCCUGAUCCAGCGACGCCGCGUGUGUGAAGAAGGCCUGCGGGUUGUAAAGCACUUUUAGUGGGGAUGAAAAGCUCAGGGCUAACACCUCUGGGUCUUGACCUAACCCACAGAAAAAGCACCGGCUAACUCUGUGCCAGCAGCCGCGGUAAUACAGAGGGUGCAAGCGUUAAUCGGAAUUACUGGGCGUAAAGCGUGCG
RNAcentral lists this ribosomal RNA (541 nucleotides) under uncultured bacterium. RNAcentral describes it as "bacterial SSU rRNA". It matches the Rfam family "Bacterial small subunit ribosomal RNA", at positions 36 to 571 of the family's 1533-position model. The record is from RNAcentral.